UGGGAAUGCAGCCCCAAUCGGGCGGUA
This 27-nucleotide small nuclear RNA is filed under the name Arabidopsis thaliana (thale cress). Its description in RNAcentral is "snRNA_12693". The record is from RNAcentral. Lineage: Eukaryota; Viridiplantae; Streptophyta; Magnoliopsida; Brassicales; Brassicaceae.